RNAcentral lists this ribosomal RNA (420 nucleotides) under Triticum aestivum (bread wheat). Its description in RNAcentral is "partial small subunit ribosomal RNA". The record is from RNAcentral. Lineage: Eukaryota; Viridiplantae; Streptophyta; Magnoliopsida; Poales; Poaceae.
AUGAACAACCUUGUUUCACAGGCGCAAAGUGCUUUCAUCAAACGACGAUGUAUACAUGAUAACUUCACGUAUGUGCGCAAUCUUGCGAGGCGUCUCCACCGAAACAAAACACCGGCGUUGCUUUUCAAGUUGGAUAUCAAGAAAGCCUUCGACUCUGUUCGCUGGGACUAUCUCCUCGACCUUCUCAAACACCUUGGAGUCCCUCCGCGCUUUCGUGGUUGGGUCUCGACUCUUUUAGCUUCGGCAUCUUCGCGAGUCUUGCUCAACGGUAUUCCGGGCAACCCUAUCAAGCUUGGGAAGGGCUUGAGGCAAGGAGAUCCUCUACCCCCCUUCUUUUUGUUCUGGCGAUCGAUCCUUUGCACCAUAUUCUCAAGAAGGCUACUGCCCAAGGAAAGCUGCACCCUCUUGGUAACGCCAUGA